AGUGAACGCUGGCGGUAGGCCUAACACAUGCAAGUCGAACGGCAGCACAGUAAGAGCUUGCUCUUACGGGUGGCGAGUGGCGGACGGGUGAGGAAUACAUCGGAAUCUACUUUUUCGUGGGGGAUAACGUAGGGAGACUUACGCUAAUACCGCAUACGACCUACGGGUGAAAGCAGGGGAUCUUCGGACCUUGCGCGAUUGAAUGAGCCGAUGUCGGAUUAGCUAGUUGGCGUGGUAAAGGCCCACCAAGGCGACGAUCCGUAGCUGGUCUGAGAGGAUGAUCAGCCACACUGGAACUGAGACACGGUCCAGACUCCUACGGGAGGCAGCAGUGGGGAAUAUUGGACAAUGGGCGCAAGCCUGAUCCAGCCAUACCGCGUGGGUGAAGAAGGCCUUCGGGUUGUAAAGCCCUUUUGUUGGGAAAGAAAAGCAGCAGGUUAAUACCCCGCUGUUCUGACGGUACCCAAAGAAUAAGCACCGGCUAACUUCGUG
RNAcentral lists this ribosomal RNA (492 nucleotides) under uncultured bacterium. Its description in RNAcentral is "partial 16S ribosomal RNA". It matches the Rfam family "Bacterial small subunit ribosomal RNA", at positions 29 to 507 of the family's 1533-position model. The record is from RNAcentral.